UGUUUCAGCUGCUGCAGG
This 18-nucleotide unclassified non-coding RNA is filed under the name Mus musculus (house mouse). RNAcentral's name for it is "oocyte_clustered_small_RNA12780". Lineage: Eukaryota; Metazoa; Chordata; Mammalia; Rodentia; Muridae. The record is from RNAcentral.